GCUGGUUCUUCCAGGAGCGCGCAUGAGCGGACGCUGCCUACUGGUGGCCGGGCGGGAUGUAACCGGCUGCUGAGCUGGCAGUUCUGUGUCGCUAGGCUUCUGCCCGGCCGCCGCCGCACAUAAGCCACGAGGAGGAGCUUUACGACUUCCCGGUCUUCGGCGCCGGGCGCAGCAAGGGCCAGACUCUGCGCUAGCAGGCGCUGCGCGCCAACCGGCCGGCACCUGUCGCAGAAGGUGCAACCGAUCGCACUGUCGCGCAGAAGCUCCUCAAUGGCCAGCGCCAGCUGCAGCCCCGGCCGCCCACUCGCCUCAUCUGAGCCUGGGCAAAUCUGGAUUGGGAAAGUUGACAUUAAUCAACUCAUUAUUCCUCACAGAUUUGUAUUCUCCAGAGUAUCCAGGUCCUUCUCAGAGAAUUAAAAAGCCUGUACAGGUCUAGAUAUUGGUAUUUUUAAUUGAUGAUAAGCUGGAAUAAUAUUAAUACACACAAAGCACGUGUUGUAACUUUCAUUAUGCUUCCUUAGAGCUCUGUUCACGGAAAGGGCCUGGGAGCUGCAACACCUCAACAGCAACAAGCACACCUGCUACCUAGAACUUGGUUUCUAAAAACCAUCCUCCUCUAAAAGGAAACAGAGCUCUUUGAAGAAACGAGACAGAUCUCAUUAUGUUGCCCAGGGUGAUCCUUGAUCUCCUGGCCUCAAGUGAUCCUCCAACCUUGGUCUCCCAAAGUGCUGGGAUUACAGAUGUGAACUACCACACCCAGUCAACGUGCAGAAGGUUUUCAGUUUGAUGUAGUCUGAUGUAGUCUCAUGUAUUUAUCCUUCUUGUUGUUGCCUGAGCUUUUGGUGUGAUAUCCAAAAAUAUCAUUGCCAAGAUCAAUAUCAAGAAACUUUCCCCCUAUGUUUCUUACAGAAAUUUUAUGGUUUCAGAUUUUUCAUCCAUUUUGAGUAUAUUUGUGUGUAUGAUGUAAGAUAAGGGUCCAGUCUCCCCAGUGUUGGAUAUCCAAUUUUCAUAACACCAUUUAUUGAAGAGAUUAUUCUUUCUCCACUGUGUUUUCUUGAUGUCCUUGUCAAAAAUUAGUUGACUUUUAUAUGCUUGGGUUUAUUUCUGGGCUCUAUUCUGUU
RNAcentral lists this long non-coding RNA (1121 nucleotides) under Homo sapiens (human). RNAcentral describes it as "HSALNT0289604". The record is from RNAcentral. Lineage: Eukaryota; Metazoa; Chordata; Mammalia; Primates; Hominidae.